This is a long non-coding RNA of Ceratitis capitata (Mediterranean fruit fly), 883 nucleotides long. RefSeq lists it as uncharacterized. The record is from RefSeq and is a predicted model, not a curated record. Lineage: Eukaryota; Metazoa; Arthropoda; Insecta; Diptera; Tephritidae. The transcript has 3 exons.
GCUGUGCAAAUAGAACAUCAAACGAAACCGAUUCCCCGAUCGAUAGCGACGGAACAGAUGUUUCAUUGGCCGACUUUAAAUAAGUUUGAAUAGCAAGAGGCCGAUAGCUUGCUGGCCGAGCUUCUAAAAAUACAGCGACGUAGAACUCACAUUUUCCCUAACUCAACUUCUUUGCAAAAAGUGGUCGGAUGAAUCAUGUUCGGCCAAACGAAUUUAAGCGUGCUCUGCCCUCUCUACAAUACAUAAAGAGGAGGCACCACAAUCUGCAUUAUUACCUUCCCCAUAUCUCACACAAUCGUACUGAGGGAAAGACUGACGCACGGCUUUCAACCUGGUAAAUAGGUCAAAGGCCAGAUAUUCAUCAUGCACUAAGGACCCGCGAAAAAAAUCGAUACACAUCACUACUUUGUUGAUUUUAAGGCUGUCUGCUGUUGAACGUAAAGGAGCUGCCUCUAAGUCGCUAUGCCAGAACAUGCUCUCCCCACUAAAACGUACAUGGCUCUGUGAAUUGGAGUUAAGUAACAGCAAAGGCUUCGUCAGAAUAGCAGAAGACCUCUCAGAGCUAGAAGAUAAGGUCUUCUCAUCUCGUGAAUCCAACGCAAAAUACUGCAGCCGAUGGAAUGAUGCAACUGUCCGAGUUAUACAGCGACAUUGGACGUUCAGCUCUGCAAGUUUUCGAUGGAGUACCCGCUAGUGGAAGCUAUACUUGGUGUAUCCAAUUGGCGCCAAACAGCGAAAAGAGAGAAUAUUUAGUGAAAGAGAAGCGGACUUCAAAAGAGAAUUUAAGAAAUUGCAGUUGAGUCCUUUCGACAUCAGAUCAAAGUUGUGGGCGUUUAUACUGUUGGCAAUUUUCGUUUGAUAUUAUGGUUUCGAACUAAUAAAA